This is a long non-coding RNA of Gallus gallus (chicken), 211 nucleotides long. RefSeq lists it as uncharacterized. NCBI's taxonomy places the organism in Eukaryota, Metazoa, Chordata, Aves, Galliformes, Phasianidae. The transcript has 2 exons. The record is from RefSeq and is a predicted model, not a curated record.
GGGUCUGUUUGAGACGGGUGGGGAGCCGGUGUCCUCUGCUGGUUUCUUGUUGACAAGUGACUCCUUCGUGCCGGUCUUGAGGAGGCUGUUCCUGUGUGACCCAGUCUUCUCCAAGGGCACGGCUCCUCCGGACACCUAGCAGCUGUUGGUGUUUGUCUGCGUGUCCCCUUCCUUGAGCCUGAAGGAGGAAUAUAAACAGCUGGAGAGAGAA